AACGAACGCUGGCGGCAGGCCUUACACAUGCAAGUCGAGCGAGAACUUCGGGUCUAGCGGCGGAGGGGUGCGUACCGCGUGGGAAUAUGCCUGUUGGUACGGAAUAGCCUCGGGAAACUGGGCGUAAUCCCGUAUGUGCCCUUUGGGGGAAAGAUUUAUAGCGAAGGGAUUAGCCCGCGUUGGAUUAGGUAGUUGGUGGGGUAAUGGCCUACGAAGGCGACGAUCCAUAGCUGGUUUGAGAGAAUGAUCAGCCACACUGGGACUGAGACACGGCCCAGACUCCUACGCGAUGCAGCAGUGGGGAAUCUUAGACAAUGGGGGCAAGGCUGAUCUAGCCAUGCCGCGUGAGUGAUGAAGGCCUUAGGGAUGUAAAGCUCGUUCAGCUGGGAAGAUAAUGACGGUACCAGCAGAAGAAGCCCCGGCUAACUCCGUG
This 433-nucleotide ribosomal RNA is filed under the name uncultured bacterium. RNAcentral describes it as "partial 16S ribosomal RNA". It matches the Rfam family "Bacterial small subunit ribosomal RNA", at positions 29 to 507 of the family's 1533-position model. The record is from RNAcentral.